This is a long non-coding RNA of Trichechus manatus latirostris (Florida manatee), 355 nucleotides long. RefSeq lists it as uncharacterized. The record is from RefSeq and is a predicted model, not a curated record. Lineage: Eukaryota; Metazoa; Chordata; Mammalia; Sirenia; Trichechidae. The transcript has 3 exons.
CCAGGAGGGACUUCCGGCGUCAUCCGUGCAGUGAUCGUUUCGGCAGCUGUUGAGUGCUGGUUCCGUUCCGUGGUGAAGUAACCGGGAAGCGGCGACAGGACUCCUGGUCCGGACCACACAGAGGCGGGUCUGAGGCUGGGAGGUGGCGCCAUCCGGGGUGACCCACGCCACGGCCGGCAGACCUACGGCGCCGCGACCACGCUCCGCCCUCAGCCUCCCUGGCGGCCGCCGCGCUGAGGGACCCGGUUCAGCUUCCCAUGGCUGAAGAAGUGCUUACUGAUUCUACACUGGAAGAGAGACGGGGCAGAGUCAGGCUUGGAAUGGCUUCCGGAGAAGUUGAGCAUCUAUUCUGGAG